RNAcentral lists this ribosomal RNA (459 nucleotides) under uncultured bacterium. RNAcentral describes it as "partial 16S ribosomal RNA". It matches the Rfam family "Bacterial small subunit ribosomal RNA", at positions 338 to 795 of the family's 1533-position model. The record is from RNAcentral.
CCUACGGGUGGCAGCAGUGAGGAAUAUUGGUCAAUGGGCGCGAGUCUGAACCAGCCAAGCCGCGUGAGGGAAGACGGUCCUAUGGAUUGUAAACCUCUUUUGUCGGGGAGCAAACGACGCCACGCGUGGCGUUCUGAGAGUACCCGAAGAAAAAGCAUCGGCUAACUCCGUGCCAGCAGCCGCGGUAAUACGGAGGAUUCGAGCGUUAUCCGGAUUUAUUGGGUUUAAAGGGUGCGAAGGCGGAGGAUUAAGUCAGGGGUAAAAUUGGGAGGCUCAACCUCUUAGAGCCGUUGAAACUGGUUGGCUUGAGUGUGGGAGAGGUAGGCGGAAUGCGUGGUGUAGCGGUGAAAUGCAUAGAUAUCACGCAGAACUCCGAUUGCGAAGGCAGCAUACCGGGGCUCAACUGACGCUGAGGCACGAAAGUGUGGGUAGCGAACAGGAUUAGAUACCCGAGUAGUC